Long non-coding RNA from Leptopilina boulardi, 743 nucleotides. RefSeq lists it as uncharacterized. The record is from RefSeq and is a predicted model, not a curated record. Lineage: Eukaryota; Metazoa; Arthropoda; Insecta; Hymenoptera; Figitidae. The transcript is spliced from 5 exons.
CAAAUCAGACGCCCAGUUGGACAGUUGCAAUAAAUUUUUUGCAUUGUUAACCGUUAAUGCGGCAAAUGAAGAUUUGUUUUAUUACAUUUUUAAAUGAUUAUUGCAGUAAUUUUGUAUGAAAUAAUGAGAAAAUAAUAUUCGAUGAUAGUAUUGAAGCCACCUGAACGCAAAUAAGCGAGGCCAAUGAUUACCAAAAUGAAAAUUAUAACUCCAGCACCAAUUCCAACACUGGUACCAACUCCUUGGACUUCUGCCACUUCGUUCAAAGACACUGUGGGCGGAUUCGCACUCCAAAAUCCCGUGGAUUCGCAAAUUCUAUUUUUCGAUCCUAAAAGCAUAUAACCAUCGGGACAUGUGUAUUCAAUAAUUGCUCCAAUCGUUCUUUUGGAACCGACAAUACUUGUAUUUUCCGAUCUCUCAGGACUGCCGCAUAUCGAUGGCUCUGAAAAAUAAAUGAGAUUUAUCUCACCAUCGGUAGCAAAGACCUCGACUUCACAGAGACUCAAACUGCCUUCAACUCCAACCAAUUGAAGAAACACGUACUGUCCAAUCAAGGCCCUUGCACACACGAAUGUUUUUGUUAUUCCUUCCUCUGUAAUUGUAUCAUAUUAUUUGGAAAAUUUUAAAGCAUUUUUGCAAAGAGAACAAAAUUUAAAUAAGUGCUGUACGCAUUCCGUCGAGAAAAAAAAAAUUGUCGUACUUGUCUAUUUAAUAAUCACUUACCAAUUGUACCCGGAAACCAU